RNAcentral lists this small RNA (243 nucleotides) under Arabidopsis thaliana (thale cress). RNAcentral describes it as "ATSL260490". The record is from RNAcentral. Lineage: Eukaryota; Viridiplantae; Streptophyta; Magnoliopsida; Brassicales; Brassicaceae.
GAGGUGAAAAAUGAGUCGUGGUAACGCAGCAGCAGCUAAGGGAAAGAAGAAGGGAGUUUCCUUCACUAUCGAUUGUUCUAAACCUGUGGAUGAUAAGAUUAUGGAGAUUGCUUCUUUAGAGAAGUUUCUUCAGGAGAGGAUUAAGGUUGGUGGUAAAGCUGGUGCUCUUGGUGAUUCUGUUUCUAUCACUCGUGAGAAGAGCAAGAUCACUGUCACUGCUGAUGGUCAAUUCUCCAAGAGGUA